This 73-nucleotide transfer RNA is filed under the name Bacteroidota bacterium. RNAcentral describes it as "Bacteroidetes bacterium tRNA-Gly". It matches the Rfam family "tRNA". From Rfam's summary of the family: Transfer RNA (tRNA) molecules are approximately 80 nucleotides in length. Their secondary structure includes four short double-helical elements and three loops (D, anti-codon, and T loops). The record is from RNAcentral. RNAcentral also lists the same sequence under 3 other names. Lineage: Bacteria; Pseudomonadati; Bacteroidota.
GCAGAAGUAGCUCAGUUGGUAGAGCAUAACCUUGCCAAGGUUAGGGUCGCGAGUUCGAGUCUCGUCUUCUGCU